This 501-nucleotide ribosomal RNA is filed under the name uncultured bacterium. RNAcentral's name for it is "partial 16S ribosomal RNA". It matches the Rfam family "Bacterial small subunit ribosomal RNA", at positions 30 to 523 of the family's 1533-position model. The record is from RNAcentral.
AUUGAACGCUGGCGGAAUGCUUUACACAUGCAAGUCGAACGGCAGCAUAGGUGCUUGCACCUGAUGGCGAGUGGCGAACGGGUGAGUAAUACAUCGGAACGUGCCCAGUCGUGGGGGAUAACGUAGCGAAAGUUACGCUAAUAACGCAUACGAUCUAAGGAUGAAAGCGGGGGACCGUAAGGCCUUGCGCGAUUGGAGCGGCCGAUGUCAGAUUAGGUAGUUGGUGAGGUAAAGGCUCACCAAGCCGACAAUCUGUAGCUGGACUGAGAGGACGAGCAGCCGCACUGGGACUGAGACACGGGCCAACAUCCUACGGGAGGCAGCAGUGGGGAAUUUUGGACAAUGGACGCAAGUCUGAUCCAGCCAUUCCGCGUGAAGGACGAGGGCCUUCGGGUUGUAAACUGCUUUUGUACGGAACGAAAAAGCUCUACUAAUACUAGAAGUCCAUGACGGUACCGUAAGAAUAAGCACCGGCUAACUACGUGCCAGCAGCCGCCGUAA